Zonotrichia leucophrys gambelii is the source of this 1985-nucleotide long non-coding RNA. RefSeq lists it as uncharacterized. NCBI's taxonomy places the organism in Eukaryota, Metazoa, Chordata, Aves, Passeriformes, Passerellidae. The record is from RefSeq and is a predicted model, not a curated record. The transcript has 4 exons.
UGCUGAGUCAGAGCCACAGGAGGUUUAGCAGAGAAUCUUUCCUGACCAGGUUUCUGAAGCUGCUUGGACGAUGGGAAGAAAAGAUAAACCCUCUGAAACAGCAGCCACUUUUUUCUGAGUUGAGAUUGGGAUUUCAGGCAUUUUAAGGGUGCACAGAAAUGGGUUUCAGGCUGUCCUGGAGCCACACACUGCCAGAGCUUGCUGUCUGCUGGAGGUUCUCCCCAUGAUUGUCCCCAUGUACCCAGCAGCUCAGGCUGGUGGCUGCACCACUUUGGAGCUUUCUCUUCUGCCUGUGGAGAGCCUGAUGCCAGUCUUGAAACACUUGGAUUGGAGAUGACAGCAUUAUAAUUGAAAAUAAUGGUAGGACACCAACCCCAGCUCAGCUGGAUGGGGGAACCAGGGGCAGCAUCUCUGCUGCAAGCAAGAACCAAGUGAGGAUCCUGGACCCUUCCCGCCUGGAUUUGGGGAAAUUCUCCCGGCUCCCCAGGGUUUUUCUUCCCGCUGAGGACAUCUGCCAGGAAUGAGGAGGAGCCCGUGCCAAUGUCCUCCAAAGUGGGGUCUGCAUGGGGGGCUGCUGGAUGUGCGUGCCCCACACCAUGGGCACUGGGGGCAGCUCCUGGCACUGCCAGAAUGGAGCCUCUGUGCAGGGAUGCUGGCCUGGCAUGGCUUGAGCUCCCACAGCCAGCAGUGCCAGCCAUGAGAGGCUGCCCCUGGCACUGCUGUGUGCCCUUGGCAUUGCUGCGUGUCCCUGGCAUUGCUCUGUGCCUGUGGCUCUGCUCUGUGCCCACAGCAUUGCUCUGUGCCAUUGGCAUUGCUCUGUGCCCAUGGCACUGCUCUGUGCCCGUGGCUGAGUGGUGGCUUUCUGGCAGGAACCCACUGACACCUAAAGCAAAGAGGAAACUUCAGAGAAAGUUCUGUGGGAACCCUCCCUGGGAUGAGGCUGUGUCCAGGGGCUGUCACUGGGCAGUGUCACCCUGUGGCACCUCCAAAGGUCCCCUGUGUGGGGCAGGGCAGGACUGGAGGCUCAGACCCUGCUGUCACGUCCUGAUCCCAGUGCAGCUGCCGUGGCUGUGGCCAGGGGAAGGUCCAGGCUGAGCCACACCUGAGCAGUGACACAGUGCCCCAGCAGUGCUGUGACAGUGCCACCCCUGUGCCAGGGUCCCCCUGAGUCCUGCUCCAGCUCUGCAUGCCCAGUGGGCAUCUUAGCUCUUUUCUUUCCUGGGAGCUGGAGGCUGGACAAGAGCUGGCACAAAGGCUGUUUGGUCCCAACAAAAACUUUUUUGUUUCAGUGUGAUAUCAGAUGUUUUGAGCUGAGUGAACAAAGCACCCUCUUGCUGGAGCUCCCCCUCCUCGUUGGCAGUGUCAGCAGCAUCAGCACAGGACAAUCCUCUGUCCCUUUCCUGGGAAUCUCACUGCACCUCUUGGAUCACACUGAAUUUUGUGUUUCUGUUGAAGUCUGGCACAGUGCAUCUUGUGGGACAGCUCAACGACCAGGCACAGGAGUUUUCCAUUGAAGCUGCAGCCAUCCACAUUUACUCCUGUUUUCCAGUGCCCACUGGGGAAAAAGCCAUGUUAGAGCUGCCAGUGCUGCCCAUGGACAGGGAGCGCUCAGUGCUGUGUGGGGUGCCUGGUGUUGCCUUCAAGCAAAGCUCUUCCCUGGCACAAGGGUUCAGUGAGCAGGGCUCAGUGAGGAGCCCCCCUGCUGCAGGGCUUCUUGAGGGGUGAUUUGUGAACCACAGGCCAGGGUGAGUGGGGAGGGUGGGAUGAGCUCAUUUCCCAAGUCAGCUCUGCAGCUGCCCAGGACGGAGCAGCUCUCCCAGCUGGCAGAGACAUCCCAGGGAGCCAGAGGAGCCCUGGGACACUCUGGGGCCCAGGCAGGAGCUACAGGGACAGGCACACACUGCAGCCAGCUCCUGCUCCUCAGCAGAGAGCUGCAAAGGAAACAGGAGCAUUUCCUGAGCUGGUCUGACCAUCAAUGCCCUGGC